RNAcentral lists this ribosomal RNA (114 nucleotides) under Chelonoidis abingdonii (Abingdon island giant tortoise). The record is from RNAcentral. Lineage: Eukaryota; Metazoa; Chordata; Testudines; Testudinidae.
UCUAGCCAGUUACCUUAUGCUGCUAACACAAAGGAUCAUAUAAGCCCAGCAGGGCCAGACGAGGGCAGUGUUUGGAUGGGAGACCUCUGUGGGAAACCCAGGUUGCUGCAGGAA